GCUUUGCCCCUUGCAAGACAGGCGCGUUUGGCUUGGUAAGAGCCGUCUGAGUCUACGUUUUGCUUCUGGAGCUGGGCACCAGCAUUAUUUUCUAUGUCGUUGGCCAAGUGUUCAAGCCGACAUACUCAAGAUGCCAUGCUCACAGCUUUUUCCGGGCUCCUCUAUGUCAAGAGAUCAAGGAGCGCCUGGGUCCAGAUGCCUACUCUGACUCCAC
RNAcentral lists this long non-coding RNA (214 nucleotides) under Struthio camelus australis. RNAcentral describes it as "lncRNA (ENSSCUG00000000962.1)". Lineage: Eukaryota; Metazoa; Chordata; Aves; Struthioniformes; Struthionidae. The record is from RNAcentral.